RNAcentral lists this ribosomal RNA (492 nucleotides) under uncultured bacterium. Its description in RNAcentral is "partial 16S ribosomal RNA". It matches the Rfam family "Bacterial small subunit ribosomal RNA", at positions 29 to 507 of the family's 1533-position model. The record is from RNAcentral.
AGUGAACGCUGGCGGUAGGCCUAACACAUGCAAGUCGAACGGCAGCACAGUAAGAGCUUGCUCUUACGGGUGGCGAGUGGCGGACGGGUGAGGAAUACAUCGGAAUCUACUUUUUCGUGGGGGAUAACGUGGGGAAACUUACGCUAAUACCGCAUACGACCUACGGGUGAAAGCAGGGGAUCUUCGGACCUUGCGCGAUUGAAUGAGCCGAUGUCGGAUUAGCUAGUUGGCGGGGUAAAGGCCCACCAAGGCGACGAUCCGUAGCUGGUCUGAGAGGAUGAUCAGCCACACUGGAACUGAGACACGGUCCAGACUCCUACGGGAGGCAGCAGUGGGGAAUAUUGGACAAUGGGCGCAAGCCUGAUCCAGCUAUACCGCGUGGGUGAAGAAGGCCUUCGGGUUGUAAAGCCCUUUUGUUGGGAAAGAAAAGCAGCAGGUUAAUACCCCGCUGUUCUGACGGUACCCAAAGAAUAAGCACCGGCUAACUUCGUG